Molecule: small nucleolar RNA, 123 nt
Organism: Phodopus roborovskii (desert hamster)
Lineage: Eukaryota; Metazoa; Chordata; Mammalia; Rodentia; Cricetidae
Product: small nucleolar RNA SNORA42/SNORA80 family
Exons: 1
Source: RefSeq, a predicted model, not a curated record
GCCUUUAUGGCAGGCCCGUUGCCCUAGGUCUGUCAUAGUGUAGCAUGCUAGAACAACCCGAGACCCAAACCAUUGCCUGACCUCUGCCUAUAGGCCACUGGCACUGAAGUGAGUUGCACAAUA